This 453-nucleotide ribosomal RNA is filed under the name uncultured bacterium. Its description in RNAcentral is "bacterial SSU rRNA". It matches the Rfam family "Bacterial small subunit ribosomal RNA", at positions 335 to 800 of the family's 1533-position model. The record is from RNAcentral.
ACUCCUACGGGAGGCAGCAGUGAGGAAUAUUGGACAAUGGGCGAAAGCCUGAUCCAGCAAUACCGCGUGAGUGAAGAAGGCCCUAGGGUUGUAAAGCUCUUUCAGCAGGGAAAAUAAUGAUGGUACCUGCAAAAGAAGUCCCGGCUAACUCCGUGCCAGCAGCCGCGGUAAUACGGAGGGGACUAGCGUUGUUCGGAUUUACUGGGCGUAAAGGGUGCGUAGGCGGUGUAUUAAGUUAGAAGUGAAAGCCUGGGGCUUAACCCCAGCAACAUGCUUCUAAACUAAACUAACGCUAGAGUAUGGGAGAGGAUAGUGGAAUUCCUAGUGUAGAGGUGAAAUUCUUAGAUAUUAGGAGGAACACCGGUGGCGAAAGCGACUAUCUGGAACAUUACUGACGCUGAGGCACGAAAGCGUGGGGAGCAAACAGGAUUAGAUACCCUGGGUAGGUCAGUC